UAAUCGCAGAUCAGAAUGCUGCGGUGAAUGCGUUCCCGGGUCUUGUACACACCGCCCGUCACACCACGGAAGUUGGGGGCGCCCGAAGCCACUUAGCUAACCCUUUUGGGAAGCGAGUGUCGAAGGUGAAAUCAAUAACUGGGGUGAAGUCGUAACAAGGUAUC
Molecule: ribosomal RNA, 164 nt
Filed under: uncultured bacterium
Lineage: Bacteria
Description: partial 16S ribosomal RNA
Rfam family: Bacterial small subunit ribosomal RNA
Source: RNAcentral